Molecule: ribosomal RNA, 235 nt
Filed under: uncultured bacterium
Lineage: Bacteria
Description: partial 16S ribosomal RNA
Rfam family: Bacterial small subunit ribosomal RNA
Source: RNAcentral
CGGACGGGUGAGUAACGCGUGGGUAACCUGCCUUAUACAGGGGGGUAACAGUCAGAAAUGACUGCUAAUACCGCAUAAGCGCACAGGACCGCAUGGUCCGGUGUGAAAAACUCCGGUGGUAUAAGAUGGACCCGCGUUGGAUUAGCUUGUUGGUGGGGCAACGGCUCACCAAGGCGACGAUCCAUAGCCGGCCUGAGAGGGUGAACGGCCACAUUGGGACUGAGACACGGCCCAG